CCUACGGGUGGCAGCAGUGGGGAAUAUUGGACAAUGGGCGAAAGCCUGAUCCAGCCAUGCCGCGUGUGUGAAGAAGGCCUUCGGGUUGUAAAGCACUUUCAGUGGGGAAGAAAGCCUUGGGCUAAUACCCUCGAGGAAGGACAUCACCCACAGAAGAAGCACCGGCUAACUCCGUGCCAGCAGCCGCGGUAAUACGGAGGGUGCGAGCGUUAAUCGGAAUUACUGGGCGUAAAGCGCGCGUAGGCGGUCUGAUAAGCCGGUUGUGAAAGCCCCGGGCUCAACCUGGGAACGGCAUCCGGAACUGUCAGGCUAGAGUGCAGGAGAGGAAGGUAGAAUUCCCGGUGUAGCGGUGAAAUGCGUAGAGAUCGGGAGGAAUACCAGUGGCGAAGGCGGCCUUCUGGACUGACACUGACGCUGAGGUGCGAAAGCGUGGGUAGCAAACAGGAUUAGAUACCCGAGUAGUC
This 464-nucleotide ribosomal RNA is filed under the name Vreelandella stevensii. Its description in RNAcentral is "partial 16S ribosomal RNA". It matches the Rfam family "Bacterial small subunit ribosomal RNA", at positions 338 to 795 of the family's 1533-position model. Lineage: Bacteria; Pseudomonadati; Pseudomonadota; Gammaproteobacteria; Oceanospirillales; Halomonadaceae. The record is from RNAcentral.